GACGAACGCUGGCGGCGUGCUUAACACAUGCAAGUCGAACGGAAAGGCCCUGCUUUUGUGGGGUGCUCGAGUGGCGAACGGGUGAGUAACACGUGAGUAACCUGCCCUUGACUUUGGGAUAACUUCAGGAAACUGGGGCUAAUACCGGAUAGGAGCUCCUGCUGCAUGGUGGGGGUUGGAAAGUUUCGGCGGUUGGGGAUGGACUCGCGGCUUAUCAGCUUGUUGGUGGGGUAGUGGCUUACCAAGGCUUUGACGGGUAGCCGGCCUGAGAGGGUGACCGGCCACAUGGGGACUGAGAUACGGCCCAGACUCCUAAGGGAGGCAGGAGUGGGGAAUAUUGCACAAUGGGAGGAAGCCUGAUGCAGCAACGCCGCGUGCGGGAUGACGGCCUUCGGGUUGGAAACCGCUUUCGCCUGUGACGAAGCGGGAGUGACGGUAAUGGGUAAAGAAGCACCGGCUAACUACGUG
RNAcentral lists this ribosomal RNA (468 nucleotides) under uncultured bacterium. RNAcentral's name for it is "partial 16S ribosomal RNA". It matches the Rfam family "Bacterial small subunit ribosomal RNA", at positions 28 to 507 of the family's 1533-position model. The record is from RNAcentral.